Long non-coding RNA from Ctenopharyngodon idella (grass carp), 396 nucleotides. RefSeq lists it as uncharacterized. The record is from RefSeq and is a predicted model, not a curated record. Lineage: Eukaryota; Metazoa; Chordata; Actinopteri; Cypriniformes; Xenocyprididae. The transcript has 4 exons.
AAGUGAUGUGACGAGUCUUACAGCAGAUGGAGGGCUGGUGUGUGAAUGAAACUCUCUUUAGGGAUUUCAGUAAAGCCAGACUUGACGAACGAUCUGGAAGGAAAAAAAACAUCAAUAACUGGAAACAGUUUUUUGAAUGGAAGUUCCCCAAACCGGAAGUGCCACCCAUAAUUCAAAACGCAGCAGGCUCGUCAGGAAUAAGAAACAAGCUUCAUAGUUUUGUGAUGGGAAGAGAAACAGAGCAAGAAAAGGAGACUGAAAAAAUGUGAUGGAGAUGAGAGAGGAAGAGCAGAUAAUCUGUAAGGAUGACCUAAUCAGUUCCCAUGCCUGUGCACUUCACAACAGUCACAUGGAAGAGGGAUCCAUAUUCAAUAAAAAAUACUUUGUGUGAAUAUA